This is a non-coding RNA of Tinamus guttatus (white-throated tinamou), 98 nucleotides long. The record is from RefSeq and is a predicted model, not a curated record. NCBI's taxonomy places the organism in Eukaryota, Metazoa, Chordata, Aves, Tinamiformes, Tinamidae.
UGAAAGUUGAAUUCAUAGUGAGAAAUCUAAAAUGGAAAUCUAAUUACAUAAGAACCCAUUUUGAAACAGCAAGUCUUGGUUAAAUAAAUACUUCCUGC